UCGGCGCCUUUGUGUGUAUUGAUUUGUUUAUGUUUUUUGUUCUUGAAUAUUGAUUGAUUUUCCAAUUUAUAUUUUUUGUAUUAUUGUUCGAGUUUUUUUAGUGAAUCUUAAUGCAUCUGUUUACCCACUUUUCUAACCAAAGUGAGUAAAAUCACGAAGAAUGGUAGAGAGGUUAAGAACGGAUGCGGAGAUCGAAACGGUUAUCUUACCAACCCAUUGCGUAAUUUUUCUCUUUGCUUUGGCGUCAAAUGAAUCGACCGAAACUUCUCCUUUUAAUUUAGAGAUUUUUUUAUUUAAAUUAGCGUAAUUUUAGAUGGCAGAUGAAGAAUUGAUUAAUUUAUGCUUAAAAAACGCAGAAUAAUAGUGUUUGACAAACAAUCUCCGCUUAUUAUCUGAUGCCAAUGUCUUUAUCAAAAUUAGAAUUUUAAAUAGUUUUGUUUUGUAAUGGGAAGAAACAGUGAUGAGAUACUAGCAGACGGGCGGUCUGAAUUGAUGCCACCGGUUUAGUUUUGGUAUUACUCAGAUCUUCCGAUGAAGCUUCUGCGAACAACGACGACGACGGGAGAAUUAUUCUGGGGAUACUUCUUCGUGAUAAUUGGUUCCGUAUCCUUCUUCGGAUUCGUCUUUGCAGUCAUCGCUUCAACUUUGCUACCGCUCUCUCAAAAUCCCUUAAACCAAGGUCUGAAGAAGGAUAGGUACUACUACUGCUUCUUGGUCCCCUUGACUAUACCUGUUAUAACGGUUGCCGUCUACUUUCAUUGGCUAAGCAUGAAGCUCUUCAAGCACGCCUGAUACAUCCCAUUAGUAUUUGUGAAUUUCAAUUUCACUCUCUCAGCUUGAUGAAAGCUAAUUUGAUGAGAGUGUAUAUGCAUUCUUCUAGAGUUUUGAUGUAUUCAGAUGAAAUUAGAUUUUUCAAUUUUAUGUGGUUAUCUGUUUAUGCUCAAUCCAUUUGAUGAUAAAUAUGCAAGAAUGACGUUUGAAAUUUAAUGUUUUUAACUCAA
Long non-coding RNA from Brassica napus (rape), 1001 nucleotides. RefSeq lists it as uncharacterized. The transcript is spliced from 2 exons. Lineage: Eukaryota; Viridiplantae; Streptophyta; Magnoliopsida; Brassicales; Brassicaceae. The record is from RefSeq and is a predicted model, not a curated record.